Molecule: unclassified non-coding RNA, 279 nt
Filed under: plant metagenome
Description: partial contains small subunit ribosomal RNA, internal transcribed spacer 1, and 5.8S ribosomal RNA
Source: RNAcentral
UCUCCGUUGGUGAACCUGCGGAGGGAUCAUUACAGUAAAACGGAGGGGCAAGGGCUGCCGCUGCCACGAAGGGUCGGUCACGCCCGCGUGGCCUCGCACCCACCGAUGCCACCCCUAUGUGCACCACCCCGAGGCUCCCCCUUCGGCCCGGUCGGCGGGGGGCUUCCGGUUUCACACAAGCUUUGCUUGCUGUGAAGCAUGUAUGUUUAAUCUUUCCGAACACGCAAUCUAUACUCCUUUCAACAACGGAACUCUUGGAUCUCGCAUCGACGCAGAACC